RNAcentral lists this ribosomal RNA (484 nucleotides) under uncultured bacterium. RNAcentral's name for it is "partial 16S ribosomal RNA". It matches the Rfam family "Bacterial small subunit ribosomal RNA", at positions 29 to 507 of the family's 1533-position model. The record is from RNAcentral.
AUUGAACGCUGGCGGCAUGCUUUACACAUGCAAGUCGAACGGCAGCGCGGGCUUCGGCCUGGCGGCGAGUGGCGAACGGGUGAGUAAUACAUCGGAACGUGCCCAGACGGGGGGGAUAGCUCGGCGAAAGCCGGUUUAAUACCCCAUCCGACCUGAGGUUGAAAGCGGGGGAUCUUCGGACCUCGCGCCAUUGGGGCGGCCGAUGGCAGAUUAGCUAGUUGGUGGGGUAAAGGCCUACCAAGGCGACGAUCUGUAGCUGGUCUGAGAGGACGACCAGCCACACUGGGACUGAGACACGGCCCAGACUCCUACGGGAGGCAGCAGUGGGGAAUUUUGGACAAUGGGCGAAAGCCUGAUCCAGCAAUGCCGCGUGUGUGAUGAAGGCCUUCGGGUUGUAAAGCACUUUUGGCGGGAACGAAAAGGACUGUGCCAAUACCACGGUUCGAUGACGGUACCCGCAGAAUAAGCACCGGCUAACUACGUG